GCAAGUCGAACGGUAACAGGUCUAGCUUGCUAGAUGCUGACGAGUGGCGCACGGGUGCGUAACGCGUAUGCAAUCUACCUCUAACAGGGGGAUAGCCCGAAGAAAUUCGGAUUAAUACCCCAUAAAAUAUUUAUCUCGCAUGGGAUUGGAUAUUAAAGUUUUAACGGUUAGAGAUGAGCAUGCGUGACAUUAGCUAGUUGGUAAGGUAACGGCUUACCAAGGCAACGAUGGGUAGGGGGCCUGAGAGGGUGGUC
This 254-nucleotide ribosomal RNA is filed under the name uncultured bacterium. RNAcentral's name for it is "partial 16S ribosomal RNA". It matches the Rfam family "Bacterial small subunit ribosomal RNA", at positions 57 to 305 of the family's 1533-position model. The record is from RNAcentral.